This is a long non-coding RNA of Rhopalosiphum padi (bird cherry-oat aphid), 1952 nucleotides long. RefSeq lists it as uncharacterized. The record is from RefSeq and is a predicted model, not a curated record. NCBI's taxonomy places the organism in Eukaryota, Metazoa, Arthropoda, Insecta, Hemiptera, Aphididae. The transcript has 4 exons.
GUUACAGUUUCGCUUUAACAUGCGUAUUAUACAAUAUAUUAUACGUCGUAAUUAGGCACCGAGGUCGCAACAAGACUGUAUUGUAGUCUAGAUUAUUUUCGAUAAAAUUGGGAGAGUAGGUAAACGUACUGUUCGAGACGGGAAAUCAUGAAAUGAUCAAAUGAAUGAAUGACCGAAAACCAUUUUUUGGUACUCGUCUAAUAUGCUACCUACUGUAAAAUGGUAUCUACCAAAAAACUGUAUACGUGUAGUAUGCUACCUACCGACGGUAGGUUACCGUAGUUAUUUUUAUUUUAUUUAAUUUUAUUGUGAAAGUACAUUUGAUUCAUUACGAUAAAAUAUGUAGAUGAAAUUGUGUCAAGUGAUGUUGACGAUAUUGAUGAUGGUUAUUCAACUCAAAAAAAUUACGGUACUCGCAUUCGAAGUCCGUGUAUGUGGUAAAAAUAUUAAUGGGAGUGUAGAACGAAGAUUUUUUAAAUUGGAAAAAAUAGAUAAGGGAACUUUAUUACCAAUAAUACAAAAUGAAAUAGAACUAAGAUCAAUGGCGAGCAUAUAGUACCUUAAUUCUUAAAAGAUAUAGGUUAUCAUCAUGAAACCGUCAAUCAUUCCUAGUUUUUUGUUAUAAAGUUGUUGUAAAAUAAUUUAAAAUUUAUUGUAAUAAUAAUGGUGUAUAGAAAUAUUAUAAAGUACUUUACAACAGUAAAUUAAUAAAUUAUUAUUUUUUUUUUUUUUUGGUAGGUAUCAUUUUACGGUAGUUAGCAUACUACACCAACGAAGUAGCGAUGACUUGGGCCAUGAUUAUACUCGCUACUCUUGCGUCAAGCAAUCGUAAUGAGUAACGAACUACGAGCGGGCACCGUGACAACUACAGAAAUAUUAUUCACAUUAGAUUUUUAGAAUAAUUUUUAUUCUAUAAGCCUUCCAAAUUUGGAUAAUUUAACUUAAACACCCAAGAUUUUUCAAUGUUUCAGCGGAAAUCUACAAUAUUUUUUUCUGGUACACAAUAUUGAAGUUAAUUUUUGCUAGGUACUUAAACUUCGAGAUGUCGAAAUGACAUUUUUACGAAUUUGAACUUAUAAAAAAUCACUCUUACACUUACCAAAAAAAAAUAAAUUUAAAAAUCUAAUGUCAUAUUCAAAAAUUAUAAACUCGAUUAUGCUCGAAAUUAAUUUUUAUUAAUUAUAAAGUGUUAAAAUUUUUAAUAGAACGAGGCGCUAAAAUCGAAAACUUACUGUGUAGCAAAAUAAAUCUAAAAUUGUUAUUCUAUCACUCCAACUUCAGCCAUUUAAAUCUCACAUAAAAAUACAUAUAAUUUUAUUUGUUAAAAUUAUUUUAAUUGUGUAUUUACACAACUACACCUCAUAUUAAUUUUUUAUAUUAGAAAUUAUAUUUAUAAGACAAUAGUAAAAGUUUAAAGUAGUUAAUUAGCAUUAUAAUUUCUCUUAUGUAUAUAACAUAAAGUACACUUAUUAUAUGUAAUGUUUUAAAAUAUAUGUUAUGCUUAUAAUAACUAAAAAGAAGAACAUGACAUGCAGUGUGGAAUGUGAACUUCUAUGUAUAGUGAACCUUAUUUAAUUAUAUUUUAUUAACCAAUAAACCCCUAGUCCUAACCUACACCCACCACCUAUUUAAGAAGUGGAGCUAUCGUUUUACAUGAUAUAAUAUGAGUUUGAUGCCAUUGAAGUUCUAGGGUUCAAACACAGUAUUAUCUAGUGAUUUAAUGUCUUGGUCACUAUUUUAAUCUUGUCAUUUAAAUAUACUUAUUUAAAACUAAUUAGAUAUGUAAGAAUUAUAAUCUAGUACCUACUUAUAGUAUCAUACCCAUUCCAUUAUUCCAAUAUAAAAUAAUUAUUCCUGGACAUUGAAAUAAUAUCAAUUAAAAUAUUAUGAACUAUUGAAGAACAAAUAAUAUUAAUAAUAAUGUAACCUUGACUCAAUAAUACAUUAUUUGA